This 411-nucleotide long non-coding RNA is filed under the name Bos taurus (domestic cattle). Its description in RNAcentral is "long non-coding RNA NONBTAT023594". Lineage: Eukaryota; Metazoa; Chordata; Mammalia; Artiodactyla; Bovidae. The record is from RNAcentral.
AACUUUUUAUAUUAAGAGUUGAUGUAAAAUAAACUUGCUUGAAAUGAGAGUUCCAAGUUAAUCCAAAGCUCAUGUAGGAUCAAGACCCACACAAUAGCAGGAGGUUUUAGGUCUUGGUUUAGACUGGUGGUCAAAAGCCACUAUCAGCAUGUUUUCUAUUAUAUCUGAUGGAAUAACUUACAUUAUUUGCCAGAUUACAGUAGUGAUAAUUGUUGGCAGUUACUUGGGUCUCUAAGAGAAUUUGGGGUACUUCUAUGAUUUAUUUCAUAAUGAAGGUUAAUUCUGGGACCAUAGCCACCUUCUAAGAAAUAAGUGAAAAGGUGUAUGUAGAUGUAUGUAGGUGGGGGCAGGGGUAUAAUUCAUGAGACAAAGGGAAAAAGAGUUUGAGUUCAUGAUUAAAGUGAAACCAAU